UACGUAGGGACCAAGCGUUGUUCGGAUUUACUGGGCGUAAAAGGCGCGUAGGCGGCGCGGUAAGUCACUUGUGAAAUCUCUGAGCUUAACUCAGAACGGCCAAGUGAUACUGCAGUGCUAGAGUGUGGAAGGGGCAAUCGGAAUUCUUGGUGUAGCGGUGAAAUGCGUAGAUAUCAAGAGGAACACCUGAGGUGAAGACGGGUUGCUGGGCCAACACUGACGCUGAUGCGCGAAAGCUAGGGGAGCGAACGGG
Molecule: ribosomal RNA, 253 nt
Filed under: uncultured bacterium
Lineage: Bacteria
Description: partial 16S ribosomal RNA
Rfam family: Bacterial small subunit ribosomal RNA
Source: RNAcentral